GAUGAACGCUGGCGGCGUGCCUAAUACAUGCAAGUCGAGCGAACAGACGAGGAGCUUGCUCCUCUGACGUUAGCGGCGGACGGGUGAGUAACACGUGGAUAACCUACCUAUAAGACUGGGAUAACUUCGGGAAACCGGAGCUAAUACCGGAUAAUAUAUUGAACCGCAUGGUUCAAUAGUGAAAGACGGUUUUGCUGUCACUUAUAGAUGGAUCCGCGGCGCAUUAGCUAGUUGGUAAGGUAACGGCUUACCAAGGCGACGAUGCGUAGCCGACCUGAGAGGGUGAUCGGCCACACUGGAACUGAGACACGGUCCAGACUCCUACGGGAGGCAGCAGUAGGGAAUCUUCCGCAAUGGGCGAAAGCCUGACGGAGCAACGCCGCGUGAGUGAUGAAGGUCUUCGGAUCGUAAAACUCUGUUAUUAGGGAAGAACAAAUGUGUAAGUAACUAUGCACGUCUUGACGGUACCUAAUCAGAAAGCCACGGCUAACUACGUG
RNAcentral lists this ribosomal RNA (497 nucleotides) under uncultured bacterium. RNAcentral's name for it is "partial 16S ribosomal RNA". It matches the Rfam family "Bacterial small subunit ribosomal RNA", at positions 28 to 507 of the family's 1533-position model. The record is from RNAcentral.